GAUGAACGCUGGCGGCGUGCCUAAUACAUGCAAGUCGAGCGCGGGAAGCAGACGGAAUCCUUCGGGAGGAAGUUUGUGGAACGAGCGGCGGACGGGUGAGUAACACGUGGGCAACCUACCUGUAAGACUGGGAUAACUCGCGGAAACGCGAGCUAAUACCGGAUGAAACUUUCCAUCACCUGAUGGAAAGAUGAAAGGCGGCUUCGGCUGUCACUUACAGAUGGGCCCGCGGCGCAUUAGCUAGUUGGUGGGGUAAUGGCUCACCAAGGCGACGAUGCGUAGCCGACCUGAGAGGGUGAUCGGCCACACUGGGACUGAGACACGGCCCAGACUCCUACGGGAGGCAGCAGUAGGGAAUCUUCCGCAAUGGACGAAAGUCUGACGGAGCAACGCCGCGUGAGUGAUGAAGGUUUUCGGAUCGUAAAACUCUGUUGUUAGGGAAGAACAAGUAUCGUUCGAAUAGGGCGGUACCUUGACGGUACCUAACCAG
This 490-nucleotide ribosomal RNA is filed under the name uncultured bacterium. RNAcentral describes it as "bacterial SSU rRNA". It matches the Rfam family "Bacterial small subunit ribosomal RNA", at positions 28 to 486 of the family's 1533-position model. The record is from RNAcentral.